RNAcentral lists this ribosomal RNA (406 nucleotides) under uncultured bacterium. Its description in RNAcentral is "partial 16S ribosomal RNA". It matches the Rfam family "Bacterial small subunit ribosomal RNA", at positions 30 to 526 of the family's 1533-position model. The record is from RNAcentral.
AUUGAACGCUGGCGGCAGGCCUAAAACAUGCAAGUCGAACGCGUGGCGGACGGGUGAGUAAUGUCUGGGAAACUGCCUGAUGGAGGGGGCUAACUACUGGAAACGGUAGCUAAUACCGCAUACCAUCGGAUGUUCCCAGAUGGGAUUAGCUAGUAGGUGGGGUAAAGGCUACAAUAGGCGACGACCCCUAGCUGGUAUGAGCGGAGGACCAGCCACACUGGAAGUGAGACACGGUCCAGACGCAUACGGGAGGCAGCAGUGGGGAAUAUUGCACAAUGGGCGCAAGCCUGAUGCAGCCAUGCAGCGUGUAUGAAGAAGGACUUCGGGUUGUAAAGUACUUUCAGCGGGGAGGCGUUACCCGCAGAAGAAGCACCGGCUAACUCCGUGCCAGCAGCCGCGGUAAUUC